Molecule: ribosomal RNA, 271 nt
Filed under: uncultured prokaryote
Description: partial 16S ribosomal RNA
Rfam family: Bacterial small subunit ribosomal RNA
Source: RNAcentral
UACGUAGGUGGCGAGCGUUAUCCGGAUUUACUGGGUGUAAAGGGCGUGUAGGCGGCUCUGCAAGUCAGAUGUGAAAUUUCCGGGCUUAACCCGGACGGGUCAUCUGAAACUGCAGGACUUGAGUACUGGAGAGGAUAGCGGAAUUCCUAGUGUAGCGGUAAAAUGCGUAGAUAUUAGGAGGAACACCGGUGGCGAAGGCGGCUAUCUGGACAGUAACUGACGCUGAGGCGCGAAAGCGUGGGGAGCAAACAGGAUUAGAUACCCGCGUAGU